GAUGAACGCUGGCGGCGUGCCUAAUACAUGCAAGUCGAGCGAAUGGAUUAAGAGCUUGCUCUUAUGAAGUUAGCGGCGGACGGGUGAGUAACACGUGGGUAACCUGCCCAUAAGACUGGGAUAACUCCGGGAAACCGGGGCUAAUACCGGAUAACAUUUUGAACCGCAUGGUUCGAAAUUGAAAGGCGGCUUCGGCUGUCACUUAUGGAUGGACCCGCGUCGCAUUAGCUAGUUGGUGAGGUAACGGCUCACCAAGGCAACGAUGCGUAGCCGACCUGAGAGGGUGCUCGGCCACACUGGGACUGAGACACGGACCAGACUCCUACGGGAGGCAGCAGUAGGGAAUCUUCCGCAAUGGACGAAAGUCUGACGGAGCAACGCCGCGUGAGUGAUGAAGGCUUUCGGUCGUAAAACUCUGUUGUUAGGGAAGAACAAGUGCUAGUUGAAUAAGCUGGCACCUUGACGGUACCUAACCAGAAAGCCACGGCUAACUACGUGCCAGCCGCCGCCGUAA
This 514-nucleotide ribosomal RNA is filed under the name uncultured bacterium. RNAcentral describes it as "partial 16S ribosomal RNA". It matches the Rfam family "Bacterial small subunit ribosomal RNA", at positions 28 to 523 of the family's 1533-position model. The record is from RNAcentral.